UACGAAGGGGGCUAGCGCUGCUCGGAAUCACUGGGCGUAAAGCGCACGUAGGCGGCUUUCUAAGUCAGGGGUGAAAUCCUGGAGCUCAACUCCAGAACUGCCUUUGAUACUGGAGAGCUUGAGUCCGGAAGAGGUGAGUGGAACUCCGAGUGUAGAGGUGAAAUUCGUAGAUAUUCGGAAGAACACCAGUGGCGAAGGCGGCUCACUGGUCCGGUACUGACGCUGAUGUGCGAAAGCGUGGGGAGCAAACAGG
Molecule: ribosomal RNA, 253 nt
Filed under: uncultured bacterium
Lineage: Bacteria
Description: partial 16S ribosomal RNA
Rfam family: Bacterial small subunit ribosomal RNA
Source: RNAcentral